CCUACGGGAGGCAGCAGUAGGGAAUCUUCCGCAAUGGACGAAAGUCUGACGGAGCAACGCCGCGUGAACGAUGAAGGCCUUCGGGUCGUAAAGUUCUGUUGUUAGGGAAGAACAAGUGCUAGUUGAAUAAGCUGGCACCUUGACGGUACCUAACCAGAAAGCCACGGCUAACUACGUGCCAGCAGCCGCGGUAAUACGUAGGUGGCAAGCGUUGUCCGGAAUUAUUGGGCGUAAAGCGCGCGCAGGCGGUUUCUUAAGUCUGAUGUGAAGGCCCCCGGCUCAACCGGGGAGGGUCAUUGGAAACUGGGAAACUUGAGUGCAGAAGAGGAAAGUGGAAUUCCAAGUGUAGCGGUGAAAUGCGUAGAGAUUUGGAGGAACACCAGUGGCGAAGGCGACUUUCUGGUCUGUAACUGACGCUGAGGCGCGAAAGCGUGGGGAGCAAACAGGAUUAGAUACCCUGGUAGUCCACGCUGUAAACGAUGAGUGCUAAGUGUUAGAGGGUUUCCGCCCUUUAGUGCUGAAGUUAACGCAUUAAGCACUCCGCCUGGGGAUACGGUCGCAAGACUGAAACUUAAGGAAUUGACGG
RNAcentral lists this ribosomal RNA (586 nucleotides) under uncultured bacterium. RNAcentral's name for it is "bacterial SSU rRNA". It matches the Rfam family "Bacterial small subunit ribosomal RNA", at positions 338 to 916 of the family's 1533-position model. The record is from RNAcentral.